GACGAACGCUGGCGGCGUGCUUAACACAUGCAAGUCGAACGGAAAGGCCCUGCUUUUGUUGGGUUCUCGAGUGGCGAACGGGUGAGUAACACGUGAGUAACCUGCCCUUGACUUUGGGAUAACUUCAGGAAACUGGGGCUAAUACCGGAUAGGAGCUCCUGCUGCAUGGUGGGGGUUGGAAAGUUUCGGCGGUUGUGGCUGGACUCGCAGCUUAUGAGCUUGUUAGUGAAGUAGUGGAUUACCAAGGUUUUGAAUGGUAGCCCGCGUUAGAGGUUGACCAGCCACAAUACUACUGAGAUACGCCCCAGACUCCUACGGUACGCAAUAGUCGAAAAUAUUACACAAUAACCCCAAGCCUGAUACAACAACGCCGCGUGCGUAAUAACGUCUUUCGAGUUAUAAACCACUUUCUCAUUAAACAAAGCCUUAUUGACGGUAAUUAAUAAAAAAGCACCGGCUAACUACGUG
This 468-nucleotide ribosomal RNA is filed under the name uncultured bacterium. RNAcentral describes it as "partial 16S ribosomal RNA". It matches the Rfam family "Bacterial small subunit ribosomal RNA", at positions 28 to 507 of the family's 1533-position model. The record is from RNAcentral.